This 450-nucleotide ribosomal RNA is filed under the name uncultured Anaerolineaceae bacterium. Its description in RNAcentral is "bacterial SSU rRNA". It matches the Rfam family "Bacterial small subunit ribosomal RNA", at positions 919 to 1382 of the family's 1533-position model. Lineage: Bacteria; Bacillati; Chloroflexota; Anaerolineae; Anaerolineales; Anaerolineaceae. The record is from RNAcentral.
ACCCGCACAAGCAGCGGAGCGUGUGGUUUAAUUCGAUGCUACACGAAGAACCUUACCAAGGUUUGACAUGUAAGUGGUAGUGAUCUGAAAAGUGAACGACCCUUCGGGGAGCUUACACAGGUGCUGCAUGGCUGUCGUCAGCUCGUGUCGUGAGAUGUUCGGUUAAGUCCGCUAACGAGCGCAACCCUCACUGUGUGUUACAUGUGUCACACGGGACUGCCGGUUUUAAGCCGGAGGAAGGCGAGGAUGACGUCAAGUCAGCAUGGCCUUUAUAUCUUGGGCUACACACACGCUACAAUGGUCUGUACAAUAGGUUGCCAAGCCGCGAGGCGGAGCCAAUCCUUAAAGCAGGCCUCAGUUCAGAUUGCAGGCUGCAACCCGCCUGCAUGAAGAUGGAGUUGCUAGUAACCGCAGGUCAGCUAUACUGCGGUGAAUACGUUCCCGGGUCUU